RNAcentral lists this ribosomal RNA (554 nucleotides) under uncultured bacterium. RNAcentral describes it as "partial 16S ribosomal RNA". It matches the Rfam family "Bacterial small subunit ribosomal RNA", at positions 355 to 900 of the family's 1533-position model. The record is from RNAcentral.
UAGGGAAUCUUCCACAAUGGACGCAAGUCUGAUGGAGCAACGCCGCGUGAGUGAAGAAGGUUUUCGGACCGUAAAGCUCUGUUGUUGGUGAAGAAGGAUAGAGGUAGUAACUGGCCUUUAUUUGACGGUAAUCAACCAGAAAGUCACGGCUAACUACGUGCCAGCAGCCGCGGUAAUACGUAGGUGGCAAGCGUUGUCCGGAUUUAUUGGGCGUAAAGCGAGCGCAGGCGAAAGAAUAAGUCUGAUGUGAAAGCCCUCGGCUUAACCGAGGAAUUGCAUCGGAAACUGUUUUCUUGAGUGCAGAAGAGGAGAGUAGAACUCCAUGUGUAGCGGUGGAAUGCGUAGAUAUAUGGAAGAAUACCAGUGGCGAAGGCGGCUCUCUGGUCUGCAACUGACGCUGAGGCUCGAAAGCAUGGGUAGCGAACAGGAUUAGAUACCCUGGUAGUCCAUGCCGUAAACGAUGAGUGCUAAGUGUUGGGAGGCUUCCGCCUCUCAGUGCUGCAGCUAACGCAUUAAGCACUCCGCCUGGGGGAGUACGACCGCAAGGUUGAAAC